UCGAACGGACUCAUAUUGAAACCUAGUGAUUUAUGAGUUAGUGGCGGACGGGUGAGUAACGCGUGGAUAACCUGCCGUAUACCGGGGGAUAACACUUAGAAAUAGGUGCUAAUACCGCAUAAGCGCACGGCUCCGCAUGGGGCAGUGUGAAAAACUCCGGUGGUAUACGAUGGAUCCGCGUCUGAUUAGCUAGUUGGCGGGGUAACGGCCCACCAAGGCAGCGAUCAGUAGCCGGCCUGAGAGGGUGGACGGCCACAUUGGGACUGAGACACGGCCCAAACUCCUACGGGAGGCAGCAGUGGGGAAUAUUGCACAAUGGGGGAAACCCUGAUGCAGCGACGCCGCGUGAGUGAAGAAGUAUCUCGGUACGUAAAGCUCUAUCAGCAGGGAAGAAAAUGACGGUACCUGACUAAGAAGCCCCGGCUAACUACGUGCCAGCAGCCGCGGUAAUACGUAGGGGGCAAGCGUUAUCCGGAUUUACUGGGUGUAAAGGGAGCGUAGACGGCAGCACAAGUCUGGAGUGAAAUCCCGGGGCUUAACCCCGGAACUGCUUUGGAAACUGUGCGGCUGGAGUGCAGGAGGGGUAAGCGGAAUUCCUAGUGUAGCGGUGAAAUGCGUAGAUAUUAGGAGGAACACCGGUGGCGAAGGCGGCUUACUGGACUGUAACUGACGUUGAGGCUCGAAAGCGUGGGGAGCAAACAGGAUUAGAUACCCUGGUAGUC
This 722-nucleotide ribosomal RNA is filed under the name uncultured bacterium. RNAcentral describes it as "bacterial SSU rRNA". It matches the Rfam family "Bacterial small subunit ribosomal RNA", at positions 62 to 795 of the family's 1533-position model. The record is from RNAcentral.